RNAcentral lists this ribosomal RNA (532 nucleotides) under Cenococcum geophilum. Its description in RNAcentral is "eukaryotic LSU rRNA". The stretch from base 170 to 323 matches the Rfam family "5.8S ribosomal RNA". Lineage: Eukaryota; Fungi; Ascomycota; Dothideomycetes; Gloniales; Gloniaceae. The record is from RNAcentral.
CCGUAGGUGAACCUGCGGAAGGAUCAUUACAGAAAGUAAACGCGGAUCAAACCGCGAACUUCUAAACCUUUGACGAUUGACUCAUGUUGCCUCGGCGGGUCCUCCCGCCAGAGGAUACAUCAAAACUCCUGUUUUAACGGUGUUGUCUGAGCUACAAGCAACGAAUCAAAACUUUCAACAACGGAUCUCUUGGUUCUGGCAUCGAUGAAGAACGCAGCGAAAUGCGAUAAGUAGUGUGAAUUGCAGAAUUCAGUGAAUCAUCGAAUCUUUGAACGCACAUUGCGCCCCUUGGUAUCCCGAGGGGCAUGCCUGUUCGAGCGUCAUUUCACCACUCAAGCCUGGCUUGGUGUUGGGCGACGUCCCCCUUUAGGGACGCGCCUCGAAACGCUCGGCGGCGUGGCACCGGCUUUAAGCGUAGCAGAAUCUUUCGCUUUGAAAGUCGGGGCCCCGUCUGCCGGAAGACCUACUCRCAAGGUUGACCUCGGAUCAGGYAGGGAUACCCGCUGAACUUAAGCAUAUCAAUAAGCGGAGG